AACUGGAGGAGGGUGGGGAUGACGUCAAGUCAUCAUGGCCCUUACGAGUAGGGCUACACACGUGCUACAAUGGCAUAUACAAAGAGAAGCGACCUCGCGAGAGCAAGCGGACCUCAUAAAGUAUGUCGUAGUCCGGAUUGGAGUCUGCAACUCGACUCCAUGAAGUCGGAAUCGCUAGUAAUCGUGGAUCAGAAUGCCACGGUGAAUACGUUCCCGGUCCUUGUACACACGGCCCGUCACACCAUGGGAGUGGGUUGCAAAAGAGGUAGGUAGCUUAACCUUCAGGAGGGCGCUUACCACGUUGUGAUUCAUGACUGGGGUGAAGUCGUAA
RNAcentral lists this ribosomal RNA (331 nucleotides) under uncultured bacterium. RNAcentral describes it as "bacterial SSU rRNA". It matches the Rfam family "Bacterial small subunit ribosomal RNA", at positions 1161 to 1491 of the family's 1533-position model. The record is from RNAcentral.